CCACCUCGCCGGCGAUGCCCCAGCGAGGGGAUAAGGCCCCGCACCUCCCCGUCUCCUCUUUACCCGCACCCACUCACCCCCGCUCAGCUUGCCCCUCUCCGCCUCCCCUCUCAGAUCCCCUUUUCCCUUCUCGUCAGGCGCGGUCGUCGCCGUCGCCGUGCCACCACCGCGGCCACCGCCACCACGAGGCCUCACCGCCGCGUCCCUCAUCUCCGCCGUAGUCGUCCACAUUGUUUCCGUCCACGAACUCGAGCUGGGAGCCGCUGCAGAGGGCGAAUCGAGCCGUCCCCUUUGCUUCGGUUGCCAUCACUUCUCCGCCGAUCCGCUUUGGUCUGCUGCUCCUAAACUCCCACGGGCCUGCGUAUGUGCCGCUCGGUCAAAAAGAUAUUCGAUAAGCUUAGGAGUUUCUAGGAGAAACCCUUGGAUUUAGGUGUGAAGCUGAAGAACUACAAGGUCAAGAAAGCAGCAGGUCUUACGCCCCAAACUGCAAGGGCUCGAAGUGGAGCAAAAGAUGACGAGACCAAAUUAGAUUUUUGUGCAUUAUAUGGUGUCUUGGCAGAUUUAGAUUCCUAUUAAAAAUGAUACCAUUUUGUUUAUGUUGACUACUAUUUCAACCGCUAGAACAUAUUCUGUAAUUUAGCAUGUUCAGCGCAGUCUGGUUGUGAGUAGAUGUAUUUUAGUUAAGGAAUAUGUGUGCUUGUGGGCACUUGCAGUUUAGCAUUUCGUCAAAUAUUGCUCAGUUGUUCUCCUGUA
Long non-coding RNA from Triticum dicoccoides, 753 nucleotides. RefSeq lists it as uncharacterized. The transcript is spliced from 2 exons. The record is from RefSeq and is a predicted model, not a curated record. Lineage: Eukaryota; Viridiplantae; Streptophyta; Magnoliopsida; Poales; Poaceae.